This is a non-coding RNA of Nicotiana tabacum (common tobacco), 678 nucleotides long. NCBI's taxonomy places the organism in Eukaryota, Viridiplantae, Streptophyta, Magnoliopsida, Solanales, Solanaceae. The record is from RefSeq and is a predicted model, not a curated record.
CAAACCUCUUCCUCGUACCUUACCUCCGGCACCACCCUCCGCCGGCGGCGAUUCUCCAAACUUCACCGAAAAUACACCAUAGCCUCCUCACCUCUUCCUCUUUCCGAAUCUACAAUCCUUUUCCCUCAAAUCCUAGCCAAAUCCUUCGAAUCUUAAAUCAAAAGAAGCGGUCAAACCCCAAAAUCCUCCAAACCCAACCAAAAUCACACCCCAUGGCCUCCUCGACCUCCCCUUCCCAAAUCCCAAACCAAAACCCUUCAAAUCCAGUUUGAACCUUUCAAAUUUUAGAUCUAGGGUUUAGGCAAAGUUGAAGUUGCAGAUUCAAGGGUUUGUCAGUAUUCAAAUGGUUCCAAAAUGAUAUUAUGUGUUUGAUUUGUUAAAGGGCAGACAUAUAAUAUUAUUUAGGGAUCAUAUUUUAAGUCAGUCAAGUAAAAAUAAAAUCCGAGUUUGAAGGUCAAGAUUCAAGCCCAGUUGGUACACAACUGACAUGCUAGUUACUGUAAGCUGAAACAUGAAGCAUGAAUACAAAUAAAGAGUUGGAGUUUUAAUUUGAUUUAGUUUUGUUACUGAUUGUACUUAGGACAUUCUAUACACUACUGUUUUCGUAAAAAAGUUCUGCCAUUUCUGUAUAACUGGACAGUGUUAUAGUAAUGUAGUUAAUAAUGUCCCGUUGUUUUA